CCAGACUCCUACGGGAGGCAGCAGUAGGGAAUCUUCGGCAAUGGGGGGAACCCUGACCGAGCAACGCCGCGUGAGUGAAGAAGGUUUUCGGAUCGUAAAGCUCUGUUGUUAAGGAAGAACGAGUGUGAGAAUGGAAAGUUCAUACUGUGACGGUACUUAACCAGAAAGGGACGGCUAACUACGUGCCAGCAGCCGCGGUAAUACGUAGGUCCCGAGCGUUGUCCGGAUUUAUUGGGCGUAAAGCGAGCGCAGGCGGUUAGAUAAGUCUGAAGUUAAAGGCAGUGGCUCAACCAUUGUAGGCUUUGGAAACUGUUUAACUUGAGUGCAGAAGGGGAGAGUGGAAUUCCAUGUGUAGCGGUGAAAUGCGUAGAUAUAUGGAGGAACACCGGUGGCGAAAGCGGCUCUCUGGUCUGUAACUGACGCUGAGGCUCGAAAGCGUGGGGAGCAAACAGGAUUAGAUACCCUGGUAGUCCACGCCGUAAACGAUGAGUGCUAGGUGUUAGACCCUUUCCGGGGUUUAGUGCCGCAGCUAACGCAUUAAGCACUCCGCCUGGGGAGUACGACCGCAAGGUUGAAACUCAAAGGAAUUGACGGGGGCCCGCACAAG
RNAcentral lists this ribosomal RNA (607 nucleotides) under uncultured bacterium. Its description in RNAcentral is "bacterial SSU rRNA". It matches the Rfam family "Bacterial small subunit ribosomal RNA", at positions 331 to 929 of the family's 1533-position model. The record is from RNAcentral.